GAUGAACGCUGGCGGCGUGCCUAAUACAUGCAAGUCGAGCGAACAGACGAGGAGCUUGCUCCUCUGACGUUAGCGGCGGACGGGUGAGUAACACGUGGAUAACCUACCUAUAAGACUGGGAUAACUUCGGGAAACCGGAGCUAAUACCGGAUAAUAUAUUGAACCGCAUGGUUCAAUAGUGAAAGACGGUUUUGCUGUCACUUAUAGAUGGAUCCGCGCCGCAUUAGCUAGUUGGUAAGGUAACGGCUUACCAAGGCAACGAUGAGUAGCCGACCUGAGAGGGUGAUCGGCCACACUGGAACUGAGACACGGUCCAGACUCCUACGGGAGGCAGCAGUAGGGAAUCUUCCGCAAUGGGCGAAAGCCUGACGGAGCAACGCCGCGUGAGUGAUGAAGGUCUUCGGAUCGUAAAACUCUGUUAUUAGGGAAGAACAAAUGUGUAAGUAACUACGCACGUCUUGACGGUACCUAAUCAGAAAGCCACGGCUAACUACGUG
This 497-nucleotide ribosomal RNA is filed under the name uncultured bacterium. Its description in RNAcentral is "partial 16S ribosomal RNA". It matches the Rfam family "Bacterial small subunit ribosomal RNA", at positions 28 to 507 of the family's 1533-position model. The record is from RNAcentral.